RNAcentral lists this ribosomal RNA (357 nucleotides) under uncultured bacterium. RNAcentral's name for it is "bacterial SSU rRNA". It matches the Rfam family "Bacterial small subunit ribosomal RNA", at positions 28 to 319 of the family's 1533-position model. The record is from RNAcentral.
GAUGAACGCUGGCGGCGUGCCUAAUACAUGCAAGUCGAGCGGUAAGGUUCUGCACUCACUAUUUGACCAGAUAAGUUUCGUGAGAAAUACUGUCUGCAGCGAUGGUCUCUGGCUAGAGGUCAUAGUGGAAUAAUGAGUGUAGAAUACACGAGCGGCGGACGGCUGAGUAACACGUAGGAACGUACCCCAAAGUGAGGGAUAAGCACCAGAAAUGGGUCUAAUACCGCAUGUGAUCUUCGGAUGAAAGCUUCGGCGCUUUGGGAACGGCCUGCGCAUGAUUAGCUUGUUGGUGAGGUAAUAGCUCACCAAGGCGACGAUCAUUAGCUGGUCUGAGAGGAUGAUCAGCCAGACUGGGAC